CUAACACAUGCAAGUCGAGCGGUAGCACAGAGAGCUUGCUCUCGGGUGACGAGCGGCGGACGGGUGAGUAAUGUCUGGGAAACUGCCUGAUGGAGGGGGAUAACUACUGGAAACGGUAGCUAAUACCGCAUAACGUCGCAAGACCAAAGUGGGGGACCUUCGGGCCUCAUGCCAUCAGAUGUGCCCAGAUGGGAUUAGCUAGUAGGUGGGGUAACGGCUCACCUAGGCGACGAUCCCUAGCUGGUCUGAGAGGAUGACCAGCCACACUGGAACUGAGACACGGUCCAGACUCCUACGGGAGGCAGCAGUGGGGAAUAUUGCACAAUGGGCGCAAGCCUGAUGCAGCCAUGCCGCGUGUGUGAAGAAGGCCUUCGGGUUGUAAAGCACUUUCAGCGGGGAGGAAGGCGUUAAGGUUAAUAACCUUGGCGAUUGACGUUACCCGCAGAAGAAGCACCGGCUAACUCCGUGCCAGCAGCCGCGGUAAUACGGAGGGUGCAAGCGUUAAUCGGAAUUACUGGGCGUAAAGCGCACGCAGGCGGUCUGUCAAGUCGGAUGUGAAAUCCCCGGGCUCAACCUGGGAACUGCAUUCGAAACUGGCAGGCUAGAGUCUUGUAGAGGGGGGUAGAAUUCCAGGUGUAGCGGUGAAAUGCGUAGAGAUCUGGAGGAAUACCGGUGGCGAAGGCGGCCCCCUGGACAAAGACUGACGCUCAGGUGCGAAAGCGUGGGGAGCAAACAGGAUUAGAUACCCUGGUAGUCCACGCCGUAAACGAUGUCGAUUUGGAGGUUGUGCCCUUGAGGCGUGGCUUCCGGAGCUAACGCGUUAAAUCGACCGCCUGGGGAGUACGGCCGCAAGGUUAAAACUCAAAUGAAUUGACGGGGGCCCGCACAAGCGGUGGAGCAUGUGGUUUAAUUCGAUGCAACGCGAAGAACCUUACCUGGUCUUGACAUCCACAGAACUUUCCAGAGAUGGAUUGGUGCCUUCGGGAACUGUGAGACAGGUGCUGCAUGGCUGUCGUCAGCUCGUGUUGUGAAAUGUUGGGUUAAGUCCCGCAACGAGCGCAACCCUUAUCCUUUGUUGCCAGCGGUUCGGCCGGGAACUCAAAGGAGACUGCCAGUGAUAAACUGGAGGAAGGUGGGGAUGACGUCAAGUCAUCAUGGCCCUUACGACCAGGGCUACACACGUGCUACAAUGGCAUAUACAAAGAGAAGCGACCUCGCGAGAGCAAGCGGACCUCAUAAAGUAUGUCGUAGUCCGGAUUGGAGUCUGCAACUCGACUCCAUGAAGUCGGAAUCGCUAGUAAUCGUAGAUCAGAAUGCUACGGUGAAUACGUUCCCGGGCCUUGUACACACCGCCCGUCACACCAUGGGAGUGGGUUGCAAAAGAAGUAGGUAGCUUAACCUUCGGGAGGGCGCUUACCACUUUGUGA
Molecule: ribosomal RNA, 1427 nt
Filed under: Klebsiella pneumoniae
Lineage: Bacteria; Pseudomonadati; Pseudomonadota; Gammaproteobacteria; Enterobacterales; Enterobacteriaceae
Description: bacterial SSU rRNA
Rfam family: Bacterial small subunit ribosomal RNA
Source: RNAcentral